AUUUAUAAAGCAUUUACAAUUUUCACUUUUUAAUGUUAUAUAAGUUAUAUGUGAAUGCUCUCUGUAAAAAAUAAAAAGAAAAAUCAGUAGAGAACACAGAAAAGGUUGUGUAAGAAAAUAAAAACUAUCCACAUCCCCACAUUUAGAGAUGAUUAUUAUUAACAUUUGGGGGCAUAUCUGGGGAUGCUCGCUUAAGUAGGGAAGUCUCAAAGCGGAGAACUGUGCCUAUUUUCCAGGGUGAGGCCGGGAAGAAGACGUCAAGUCUGGGAUGGCAGCUCCUGGAUCCCAAAACUGUAGAGUCACGAUGACUGCAGGUGGUGUCCAGGUUGCCCUCCCCAACGUGGCUGGACCGCAUCCAAUCAACUGCAGACAUGAAUGGAACAAAAGGGCUGAAAAAGAAGGAAUUUUGCCUCCUGACUGCUGGAGCUGAGACAUCAGUCUUCUUCUGCCCUCUAACCGGGA
RNAcentral lists this long non-coding RNA (462 nucleotides) under Equus caballus (horse). RNAcentral's name for it is "lncRNA (ENSECAG00000057943.1)". The record is from RNAcentral. Lineage: Eukaryota; Metazoa; Chordata; Mammalia; Perissodactyla; Equidae.